UCCGAGUUGACCCCGGCAGUCUCUUACGAGUCCCCGGCAUUACCCGCUGGCAACAUAAGACAAGGGUUGCGCUCGUUGCGGGACUUAACCCAACAUCUCACGACACGAGCUGACGACAGCCAUGCACCACCUGCACACCAGCCACAAGGGAACCGACAUCUCUGCCGGCGUCUAGUGCAUGUCAAGCCCAGGUAAGGUUCUUCGCGUUGCAUCGAAUUAAUCCACAUGCUCCGCCGCUUGUGCGGGCCCCCGUCAAUUUCUUUGAGUUUUAGCCUUGCGGCCGUACUCCCCAGGCGGGGUACUUAAUGCGUUAGCUACGGCACGGAUCCCAAGGAAGGAAACCCACACCUAGUACCCACCGUUUACGGCGUGGACUAC
RNAcentral lists this unclassified non-coding RNA (378 nucleotides) under uncultured Mycobacteriaceae bacterium. RNAcentral's name for it is "contains 16S-23S intergenic spacer region". Lineage: Bacteria; Bacillati; Actinomycetota; Actinomycetes; Mycobacteriales; Mycobacteriaceae. The record is from RNAcentral.